This 301-nucleotide ribosomal RNA is filed under the name uncultured bacterium. RNAcentral describes it as "partial 16S ribosomal RNA". It matches the Rfam family "Bacterial small subunit ribosomal RNA", at positions 509 to 807 of the family's 1533-position model. The record is from RNAcentral.
CAGUCGCCGCGGGAAUACAGAGGGUGCGAGCGUUAAUCGGAUUUACUGGGCGUAAAGCGUGCGUAGGCGGCUUUUUAAGUCGGAUGUGAAAUCCCUGAGCUUAACUUAGGAAUUGCAUUCGAUACUGGGAAGCUAGAGUAUGGGAGAGGAUGGUAGAAUUCCAGGUGUAGCGGUUAAAUGCGUAGAGAUCUGGAGGAAUACCGAUGGCGAAGGCAGCCAUCUGGCCUAAUACUGACGCUGAGGUACUAAAGCAUGGGGAGCAAACAGGAUUAGAUACCCCCGUAGUCCCUGUCUCUUAUAC